GACGAGCCACCCGAACGUUAUUCGGAAUUACUGGGCUUAAAGGGUGCGUAGGCGGUGUAGCAAGUCGGGAGUGAAAUACCUCAGCUUAACUGAGGAACUGCUUUCGAUACUGCUGCGCUUGAGUGAGACAGAGGUAAGCGGAACUUAGGGUGGAGCGGUGAAAUGCGUUGAUAUCCUAAGGAACACCGGUGGCGAAGGCGGCUUACUGGGUCUCUACUGACGCUGAGGCACGAAAGCCAGGGUAGCAAACGGG
This 253-nucleotide ribosomal RNA is filed under the name uncultured prokaryote. RNAcentral's name for it is "partial 16S ribosomal RNA". It matches the Rfam family "Bacterial small subunit ribosomal RNA", at positions 524 to 776 of the family's 1533-position model. The record is from RNAcentral.